RNAcentral lists this ribosomal RNA (544 nucleotides) under uncultured delta proteobacterium. Its description in RNAcentral is "bacterial SSU rRNA". It matches the Rfam family "Bacterial small subunit ribosomal RNA", at positions 382 to 916 of the family's 1533-position model. Lineage: Bacteria; Deltaproteobacteria. The record is from RNAcentral.
CCUGACGCAGCAACGCCGCGUGAGUGAUGAAGGCCUUCGGGUCGUAAAGCUCUGUCAAGUGGGAAGAACCCUUUCGGUGUUAACAGCACCGGGAGCUGACGGUACCUCCAGAGGAAGCACCGGCCAACUCCGUGCCAGCAGGCGCGGUAAUACGGAGGGUGCAAGCGUUAUUCGGAAUUACUGGGCGUAAAGGGCGCGCAGGCGGCCUGGUAAGUCAGUUGUGAAAGCCCGGGGCUCAACCCCGGAAGUGCGACUGAAACUGUCAGGCUUGAGUAUGGUAGAGGGAAGUGGAAUUCCUGGUGUAGCGGUGAAAUGCGUAGAUAUCAGGAGGAACACCGGUGGCGAAGGCGACUUCCUGGCCCAAUACUGACGCUGAGGCGCGAAGGCGUGGGUAGCAAACAGGAUUAGAUACCCUGGUAGUCCACGCAGUAAACGGUGAUCACUAGGUGUUGGGGGUAUUGAUACCCGCAGUGCCGCGGCUAACGCAUUAAGUGAUCCGCCUGGGGAGUACGGCCGCAAGGUUAAAACUCAAGGGAAUUGACGG